UAGGGAAUCUUCCGCAAUGGGCGAAAGCCUGACGGAGCAACGCCGCGUGAGUGAUGAAGGUCUUCGGAUCGUAAAACUCUGUUAUUAGGGAAGAACAAAUGUGUAAGUAACUAUGCACGUCUUGACGGUACCUAAUCAGAAAGCCACGGCUAACUACGUGCCAGCAGCCGCGGUAAUACGUAGGUGGCAAGCGUUAUCCGGAAUUAUUGGGCGUAAAGCGCGCGUAGGCCGUUUUUUAAGUCUGAUGUGAAAGCCCACGGCUCAACCGUGGAGGGUCAUUGGAAACUGGAAAACUUGAGUGCAGAAGAGGAAAGUGGAAUUCCAUGUGUAGCGGUGAAAUGCGCAGAGAUAUGGAGGAACACCAGUGGCGAAGGCGACUUUCUGGUCUGUAACUGACGCUGAUGUGCGAAAGCGUGGGGAUCAAACAGG
RNAcentral lists this ribosomal RNA (429 nucleotides) under Actinomycetes bacterium. RNAcentral's name for it is "Actinobacteria bacterium partial 16S ribosomal RNA". It matches the Rfam family "Bacterial small subunit ribosomal RNA", at positions 355 to 776 of the family's 1533-position model. Lineage: Bacteria; Bacillati; Actinomycetota; Actinomycetes. The record is from RNAcentral.